RNAcentral lists this ribosomal RNA (116 nucleotides) under Pteropus alecto (black flying fox). The record is from RNAcentral. Lineage: Eukaryota; Metazoa; Chordata; Mammalia; Chiroptera; Pteropodidae.
GUCUAUGGCCAUGCCACUCUGAACAAGCCCGAUGUCUGAUCUCGGAAGCUAAGCAGGGUCUGGCCUGGUUAGUAUUUGGAUGGGAGACCACCUACGAAUACCAGGAGCUAUAGGCA